RNAcentral lists this ribosomal RNA (454 nucleotides) under Gemella morbillorum. RNAcentral describes it as "bacterial SSU rRNA". It matches the Rfam family "Bacterial small subunit ribosomal RNA", at positions 28 to 469 of the family's 1533-position model. The record is from RNAcentral. Lineage: Bacteria; Bacillati; Bacillota; Bacilli; Caryophanales; Gemellaceae.
GACGAACGCUGGCGGCGUGCCUAAUACAUGCAAGUCGAGCGAAGUUUUUCUGGUGCUUGCACUAGAAAAACUUAGCGGCGAACGGGUGAGUAACACGUAAAGAACCUGCCUCAUAGACUGGGACAACUAUUGGAAACGAUAGCUAAUACCGGAUAACAGUAUUUCUCGCAUGAGAGAUAUUUAAAAGUUGGUUAUGCUAACACUAUGAGAUGGCUUUGCGGUGCAUUAGCUAGUUGGUGGGGUAAAGGCCCACCAAGGCGACGAUGCAUAGCCGACCUGAGAGGGUGAUCGGCCACACUGGGACUGAGACACGGCCCAGACUCCUACGGGAGGCAGCAGUAGGGAAUCUUCCGCAAUGGGCGAAAGCCUGACGGAGCAACGCCGCGUGAGUGAAGAAGGAUUUCGGUUCGUAAAGCUCUGUUGUUAGGGAAGAAUGGAUAUGUAGUAACUAUAC